CGAAGUCGGUGAGGUAACCGCAAGGAGCCAGCCGCCGAAGGUGGGGUAGAUGAUUGGGGUGAAGUCGUAACAAGGUAGCCGUAUCGGAAGGUGCGGCUGGAUCACCUCCUUU
Molecule: ribosomal RNA, 112 nt
Filed under: Paenibacillus sp. Marseille-P2973
Lineage: Bacteria; Bacillati; Bacillota; Bacilli; Caryophanales; Paenibacillaceae
Description: partial 16S ribosomal RNA
Rfam family: Bacterial small subunit ribosomal RNA
Source: RNAcentral